AUGAACAUGUCAUCUGUUCAGAGGCAAUCAACAUCAGGCACUGUUGAAAUUCUGCUUUCUUUCCAUCUCCAUUACAGCACGAAUCUUAACACUGACGGCAGGAAGUACAGACACAUAAUAGAAUUCUGUCACAGCCAAGAUGAGCUUUUACUGAUUUCCAGGAAUGCAUCUCCAUCACCAUCCUCUGCCAGGAGUUUGCAUGCUCAUCUCCAGUUGCCAAUGGCCUUUAUACUGACUGCAGACUUUCUUAUCCAUAUGCAACCCCUUUAUACUGUUCAGGAAAUUGAGUUCGUCCCCGUCAAGAAACUAUAUAUCGCCAACCUUUGCCAUGAUCAGCUUUCGUGA
Molecule: ribosomal RNA, 345 nt
Filed under: Triticum aestivum (bread wheat)
Lineage: Eukaryota; Viridiplantae; Streptophyta; Magnoliopsida; Poales; Poaceae
Description: partial small subunit ribosomal RNA
Source: RNAcentral